This 501-nucleotide ribosomal RNA is filed under the name uncultured bacterium. RNAcentral's name for it is "bacterial SSU rRNA". It matches the Rfam family "Bacterial small subunit ribosomal RNA", at positions 8 to 526 of the family's 1533-position model. The record is from RNAcentral.
AGAGUUUGAUCAUGGCUCAGGACGAACGCUGGCGGCGCGCCUCAUACAUGCAAGUCGAGCGUGAACUCGGGCUUCGGCCUGGGGGAAAGCGGCGAACGGGUGCGUAACACGUGAGCAACCUGCCCCGAAGACCGGGACAAGCCGGGGAAACCUGGUCUAAUACCGGAUGCCCUCUUCCGACCGCAUGAUUGGACGAGGAAAUGGAUUCCGCUUCGGGAUGGGCUCGCGGCCUAUCAGCUUGUUGGUGGGGUAACGGCCUACCAAGGCGACAACGGGUAGCUGGUCUGAGAGGACGAUCAGCCACACUGGGACUGAGACACGGCCCAGACUCCUACGGGAGGCAGCAGUAGGGAAUCUUGCUCAAUGGGCGAAAGCCUGAAGCAGCGACGCCGCGUGCGGGAUGAAGGCCUUCGGGUUGUAAACCGCUUUCAGCAGGGACGAAAUUGACGGUACCUGCAGAAGAAGGCCCGGCCAACUACGUGCCAGCAGCCGCGGUAAUAC